Molecule: long non-coding RNA, 594 nt
Organism: Poeciliopsis prolifica (blackstripe livebearer)
Lineage: Eukaryota; Metazoa; Chordata; Actinopteri; Cyprinodontiformes; Poeciliidae
Exons: 3
Source: RefSeq, a predicted model, not a curated record
UUUGAGCAGUGUACUUUUUUUUUUGUUUAAAAUAGUGUUUUUUAAUACACCAGUAACUCUAGACUGCACGUCUUUGCUGCACUGUGUCGGGUGUUGGAGUUAGGCUGGGUGGGGAACCUUUUCUUUCCCACCAGAUGGAGCCAGAGGUUGGCAGUCGUUCACUCUAAAAAGUGUAUUUGGGCUGUAGUUAAUGUUAUGGCCUUUUUUACAUUAACCUGACUUAAUUGUUUGGCUUUAGUUAUGUCAACUUACUUUCAUGAGUUCAAUUAACUUAAAAGACACACAUUUCAUCUAAAACAAACGGUUAACUUUGAGUUGACGUGAACCAAUUAAGUUGAAUGCAGUUUUACGUCUGACGUCAUUACGCAAGCUUUGCCCGAGACAGAUCCACUUCUUGUACCGACCGCUUGUGCAGCCGCCAUUUCUUCUGACCAUCGACUGUCCACCGGAUUGUAAAACAGCCUGGAGCCAAGCAUCAUCAGACCAUAGAAGUGUUUCACUUCAUGUGGAGAUGCAAAGACUGCGAGAGCUUGUUUUCCAGAAGAUCUGAAUUGCUCAAGCACUACAAACUAAACCACAGGCAUUAUGGACGGG